UACGUAGGGGGCAAGCGUUGUCCGGAUUUAUUGGGCGUAAAGAGCGUGUAGGCGGUUAGGUAGGUCCGUUGUGAAAACUCGAGGCUCAACCUCGAGACGCCGAUGGAAACCCCCUAACUAGAGUCCGGAAGAGGAGAGUGGAAUUCCUGGUGUAGCGGUGAAAUGCGUAGAUAUCGUCUGGAACGCCGAAGGUGAAAACAGACUGCUGGGGAUGCGCUGACGCUGAGACACGAAAGCCAGGGGAGCGAACGGG
Molecule: ribosomal RNA, 253 nt
Filed under: uncultured bacterium
Lineage: Bacteria
Description: partial 16S ribosomal RNA
Rfam family: Bacterial small subunit ribosomal RNA
Source: RNAcentral